CCUACGGGUGGCAGCAGUGGGGAAUAUUGCACAAUGGGGGAAACCCUGAUGCAGCGACGCCGCGUGAGUGACGAAGUAUUUCGGUAUGUAAAGCUCUAUCAGCAGGGAAGAAAAUGACGGUACCUGAUCAAGAAGCCCCGGCUAACUACGUGCCAGCAGCCGCGGUAAUACGUAGGGGGCAAGCGUUAUCCGGAUUUACUGGGUGUAAAGGGAGCGUAGACGGGAGCACAAGUCUGGAGUGAAAUGCCGGGGCGUAACCCCGGAACUGCCUUGGAAACUGUGCAGCUAGAGUGCAGGAGAGGUACGUGGAAUGCGUGGUGUAGCGGUGAAAUGCGUAGAUAUUAGGCAGAACCCCGAUGGCGAAGGCAGCGUACUGGACGGUCACUGACGUUGAGGCUCGAAAGCGCGGGUAGCGAACAGGAUUAGAUACCCGAGUAGUC
Molecule: ribosomal RNA, 440 nt
Filed under: uncultured bacterium
Lineage: Bacteria
Description: partial 16S ribosomal RNA
Rfam family: Bacterial small subunit ribosomal RNA
Source: RNAcentral